AAGUUCGGAAGUGCGUCACGGGAUAACAACAUGUCCGCGUUCAUUUGAAACAGUGUAGUGUGCUCUGCUCGAUCGGUUUUCACUGCAUACUUUGAUGUGUUUGUAUGUUGGGCUCAACAAGCAGGCGAUUGCAGUGGGAGAGGCAUCUGUCAAAGGGAAGGACCGCACUCCAGGACAGGAAGAUCGACUAUUUGUUAUUAGCAGAAAUAAUGCUGAUAUUGGGAACUCAUGUCGCACAUCUAUGAAGAGAGAGCCACAAUGAUAGCCGCAGGCGAAUUGCAGUCGUUUGUCCCAUUUGGUCGUGAGCACUGCAAAAAUCACCCGAAUGCCGUGAAUCUCCAGCUGCGGCAGCUCCAGCCGGCCUCUGAGCUCUGGUCCUCUGACGGGGCGGCUGGGCUCGUGGGAUCCCUUCAGGAGGUCACUCUACAGGAGCGAGAGAAGGAGCGCUGGCGGCUGAGGAAGGGAACUGCUCCUGAUGAGGUUGAAUAUGAGGAGGAGCUGUAUGUGGCUGGAAACAUGGUCAUAUGGAGUCGUGGCAGUAAGAAUCAAGCCUCAUAUGUGUACAAGGCCUUCACGGUGGACAGCCCAGUUCAGCAGGCUCUAUGGUGUCAUUUCACCGUUCCUCAGUCUAAAAAAGAUGUAAAGGAUGUUGUGGAGCAGACGGUGUGUAUUGUCCAGAGUACCUGUGUGAACGUUCACAGCAUGAGUGGCAAAGACUUCAUAUCUCCACUCCCCUUCCAGGUCUCCGCUCUCUGGUCAACAAAGUUUGGUCUGCUUUUGGAGCGCAAAAAUAUUACAGUUGACGUCCCCAUGAGCCCCAUCAGGGAACCUCUCCCGACCCUGUUCAGCAUGCUGCAUCCCUUAGAUGAAAUCGCUCCUGUUGUUUGUAAGUCCAGCGGUCUGUUUGAGGCCCGACUCCAGUAUUUUUCAGACAGCGCUCAGAGAGUGGUGUUCACUUGCCUCAAGCCCUCCAUUAUCAUGACGUACGACACGCAGCAGUGCACACACACCGUCUGGACCCUACGGAAAGUCACACCUGAGGAGCAGACCACAGUGUUGAAGUGUCCAGACCAGCCCGGGCCGGUUCAAACUCCCAAUACAAACCCCAGCUUCCUCAGCACCCACCUGAGAAACGUGAACCGGCUGGACUCGCCCGCCUCGCCCCUGCACUGCCCCGCUCUGCACAACCAGAGCCGAAUUCCUGCCUCUCCGGCCCUGCACUCUCGAGUUCACUCGCCUAGCAUUUCAAACAUGGCUGCUCUCAGUCGGGCUCACUCCCCUGGCAUCGCCGUGCCCUCUUUCUCUGGAACUCAGCGUUUCAACAUGUCCUGCCACACCCCGUCCCCGCGUGGCCACAGCAUCCUGGCCUCUCCCAACAGCACCCUGAACGACACGGCCCUGCUGCCUGAGAUGGAGCCCAUUCUGCCAGACCUCUGCAUCGAGCAACUGUGGACAGAAACCAGCGCCAUCUCCAGGGAGAAAGGCUGCCAGGCCUCUAAAGUCUUCAUCACCUCUGAUCUGUGUGAGAACAGGUACCUGUGCUUCUUGGUCGAGUCCCACCAGCAGCUCAGGUGUGUAAAAUUUCUUGAGAGCAAUGAAACUUCUCAACUGAUAUUUGCAUCAGUAACUGUUAUCACCGCAAAAGAUGCCGCCCCUCUUGAGGACAUUCAUGCUAUGCUGGUGCUUGAGGCCAAUGGAAGUCUGGUGUUGUACACAGGAGUCACACGGGUCAGCAAAGUGUUUGUCCCUGGCCUUCUGUCUCCUAGCUUCAGUGUGCAGAACCACCAGCUGCAGUUAAUCACUCCUCUGGAGAACAUCAGCACCCCCGCCAGGGCCACAGUUCAGCAUAUGAGCCGACUGGAGGAGGUUGGCAUGCCGUCCCCUGUGUUGGAGGUCCGCAGCACGACGCAGCACCACGAAUCAUCAUGGCUGGAAGACUCUCCUUUCCAGCAGGCUGCACCUCAUAUCCACACCCUCCGAGACCCCGUCAGCAACAGAGUCACGCUGGAAUUGAGCUCCGGUUCCAUGUUAAGAAUCACCAUUCCUGAGGUGGCCACUUCAGAGCUGGUCAAACGUUGCCUGCAGGCCGUCAGGUUUAUUUUACCCAAGGACACUGCCAUGAAAGUGCUGGUCAAGUGGUACAACAGUUACAACGCCCCUGGAGGUCCCAGCAUGCACCUGGAGUGGAACCUGUUUGUUACAUGUCUAAUGACAAUGAUGGGUUACAACACAGAACGACUGACGUGGACACGCAACCUUCAUUUUGAAGUGCCUCUCUCUCCAGUAAUAGCCCCUAAGAAGGCCCGUCCCGCUGACACGGGUUCAGAUGAGGAUUGGGCAUACCUCCGUUGCUCCGACUACCAUUGGCAAAUUUCCAUGCUACCUGCGGUGGCCGUUCAAGGCCUGGAGUUGGUGUCGCCCCCUGGUGGAGUGAAUAACCAAGAGUCUGCUGUGGGUUUGGAGUCAUCCGCCCUCCUCUUCCCACAUAUCCCGGUGCUCUUCUACGUUCUGCACCUGCUCUAUGAAGACCUGAAGCUGGAUGAGCUACAGCGGAGCGGGGCGAGAGCUCUGGUUGGUCUGCUGCAACAGCUGGCCAAGGACCUACAGCAGGAGGAUUUCAUUGAUCUGUACUGGCGCGAUUACCCCUCAUUCAUCAAAACGUUCAAGGAGGCCUGCGUGAUUGAUCAAGCUCAGAUGGAGCUGAUGACUUGGCCGGUGUUCCUGAACGGAGAGGCCCCGUGUGUGUUCAGCUGGCUCAGUCGCUGUCUGAGAGGGCAAGAUGUGGCGCCUUUUCCUUAUCUGCCCAGCAUCUGCGAGAGAACCAAACUACUGGUGCUGAGUUAUGCCCUGUAUGUGGUUGGAGACGAGGACGCCAUCUCGACAAACGUGUUGAAGUACCUCUCCAGGCUGUCAGCAGGGCAAAAGAAGAAUAUUAGUGAUCCUUUUCUGAGAAGGCAGAGCAGCGUGAAGCCAACACCUUCAUCUGGAUGCCUGGCUGAGAAGCUGGUGGUGUGGUUGACCUCUGCAGGAUUUACAUUGAAGGAUCUGGAGUCGGUUCCUUUUGGUGUGGCUCUGCCAAUCAGAGACGCCAUCUACCAGUGCAGAGAACACCCCUGCUCUGAUUGGUCUGAGGAGGUCUGCGCUCUGAUUGGACGACAGGACCUGACCAAGCAAGCUCACAAAGUCACCCUGGCCAAUCGUAAAUCUACUGUUGGUCUGAACGUAAUGCUCGAGCCGCCAGUGACCAGUGAUGCCGAUGAGGAGGAGGACGGUAUGACAGACCUGCGCCCGGAGGUGACGGGGCUGAUCUGGAGUCAGGAUCUCAGGGUGCAGGAGGUCCGUCGUCUGCUCCAGAGCUCCAGACCCGUCCGGGUCAAUGUGCCCCACCUGCCUGAAGUCAGUGACCACGAGUACAUUGAGGAGAAAGAGAACAAACUGCUACAGUUGUGCCAGCGCACCAUGUCUCUACCGGUGGGCCGAGGACUCUUCACACUCUUCUCAUACCACCCUGUGCCAACCGAACCACUCCCUGUGCCCAAACUCAACCUGACUGGCCGUGCUCCUCCCAGGAACACCAUGGUGGACCUGAACAGCGGUAACAUCGAUGUGCCGCCCAACAUGACCAGCUGGCCCAGUUUCCAUAAUGGAGUGGCGGCUGGUCUUAAGAUCGCCCCUGCUUCCCAGGUGGAAUCUGCCUGGAUUGCCUACAACAAACCCAAAAGUGCUGACCUGGCUAACGAGUACGCUGGCUUCCUCAUGGCCCUGGGCCUCAACGGCCACCUCACCAAACUAGCAACACUUAACAUCCAUGACUACCUCACCAAGGGUCACGAAAUGACAAGUAUCGGGCUGUUGUUGGGUGUUUCUGCUGCUAAACUGGGCACCAUGGACAUGUCCAUCACUCGUCUGCUAAGCAUCCACAUCCCCGCACUGCUGCCGCCCACCUCCACCGAGCUCGACGUGCCUCACAGUGUGCAAGUGGCCGCUGUGGUCGGCAUCGGUCUGGUUUAUCAGGGCACCGGUCACCGGCACAAUGCAGAGGUGUUGCUGGCAGAGAUCGGACGUCCACCUGGUCCUGAGAUGGAGUACUGUACGGAUAGGGAGUCGUACUCUUUAGCAGCAGGACUGGCGCUUGGUAUGGUCUGCCUUGGGCACGGCAGUAACCUGAUCGGGAUGACCGACCUGAACGUGCCCGAGCAGCUCUAUCAGUAUAUGGUAGGAGGUCAUCGGCGCACUCAUGCUGGCAUCAACAGAGAGAAACACAAGUCUCCCAGCUAUCAGAUCAAGGAGGGUGACACUAUCAAUGUGGAUGUGACCUGUCCUGGUGCGACUCUUGCUCUAGCCAUGAUUUACCUGAAAACAAAUAAUAGGUCUAUAGCUGAUUGGCUGAAAGCCCCAGACACCAUGUUCCUGCUGGACUUCAUCAAGCCUGAGUUUUUGCUGCUGAGGACGCUGGCCAGAUGUCUUAUCAUGUGGGACGAGAUCGUUCCCAAUGCUGAUUGGGUGACCAGUAAUGUGCCUCAGAUCAUCAAGGAAAACAUUGGAAACCAGGAGCAGACGUCCGUCUCUGAGGAUCUUAACAUGGAGACCUUAGUUCAAGCUCAUGACUAUAUAAUUGCUGGAGGCUGCCUGGCCGUGGGAUUCCGGUUUGCUGGGUCUGCAAAUUCAGAUGCUUUUGACUGCUUAUACAAAUUUGCCCGAAAUUUCAUGCAGUGUCUGACGACCUCUACGGCUACAGUGACAGGGCAGUAUAACCUGCAGACGUGCUUGAGCAUGGUCCUCUUGGCGGUUUCUAUGGUCAUGGCCGGUUCAGGGAACUUGAAAGUGCUGCAGCUGUGCCGCUUCCUCCACAAACGCACCUUUGGCGAGAUGAACUAUGGCUUCCACAUGGCCCAUCACAUGGCCCUGGGCCUGCUCUUCUUGGGUGGAGGGAGGUACACCCUCAGCACCUCCAACUCGGCCAUUGCUGCCCUCCUUUGUGCACUUUAUCCUCAUUUUCCUGCUCACAGCACAGACAACAGGUAUCACCUCCAGGCGUUACGCCACCUGGCUGUCCUCGCAGCAGAGCCUCGUCUGCUGGUGCCUGUAGACGUGGACACUCUCAAACCCUGCUACGCUCUGCUAGAUGUCACCUACAAGGAGACACAGUGGUACGAGGAGACAACCGUGGAGUUGAUGGCUCCCACCAUGCUGCCUGAGCUUCACCUUCUAAAACGGAUUAAGGUAAAAGGUCCAAGAUAUUGGGAGCUAAACAUCGACAUCAGUAAAGGAACCCAUCAUCUGCAAUCCAUCUUAUCCAGAGACGGCAUUCUCUACGUGAAGCUGCGUGCCGGACAGCUCCCGUACAAGGACGACCCUCAAGGUUGGAAGAGUUUACUGGCCCCAAACCUCAACAAUAGAAGCGCUGAAGUUCGCACUUUUAAGCCCGAGGCCAUCUCAACCUUCACCUCAGACGCUGCUUUGGUCUCCUUCGCCGAGUACUUCUGCAGAGCCUCGGAAAACAUGAAGCAUAAGCAGGAGACAGUGGCCUUAUUGUCAGCAAUUCUGUAUGAAUGUGUGACACAGGAAAACCCAGAGAUGCUCCCAACACACAUCUCUAUUGACCAGGCCGUGCGGACUCUGGAGCAGGGCGAUCUGUGUGAGACGUUCAGUCUGUGGCAGAUGAAGCUGGUGUUAGAGCUGUGUGAGAGCAGAGUCCUUCAGCAGCGGCUCAGAGACACACACCGUCAGACCCGUGGCCUUCUGCUCAACUCUGAGUUCCUGCCCGUCAUGAAGAGCUCAGCGGAUCGAGCCCUGGACCACUGGCUCUGUGAUAACAGUCGUGUUCUGCACGCGUACUUGAGAAGACAGCCAAUGAACAACGAUACUGAUGUCAACAUGCUGGCCUGCUUCCUGGUCUACCAUUCCAUCCCUAGCCUCAAGAAUAUGUUGGCGUCUGACCUGGAAGGAUGUUCCUGUUUCCCAGAGUUCCUGCUCAAGAGCAGUCAGUUGGGUGUUCCUGUACGUGCUCUGCUGCGUUUGAGUCCUCUGUUUCUUCAGAAUCGUGAUGGUGGAGUUUAACUGCACUCCUUCAGACCAAUUCCUGGAGGUCGACCAACGUUCUCCCUAUCCAGGUCAGGCCGAGGAGAUGCUGAAAGUGACUGUGCUCCUGCAGAUUUGGCGUCAGACGUGGACAGAAGCUCUUGAGGUCAGCCGUUCACUGAGCACAAACUGUUUAUGCUGCCUUCAGGUCCUGCUGGGACGGUCCUGCUUAAAGAGCUCGGAAGGCCUAAUUAUGAUGUGAUGUGCGCAAAGUGAUUUGGAUUGGAAAAAAAGGUGUCUAUAACUUGCUCACAAAGCAUUUUUAGUCCCACUUCAACUAAAUGUGAUUUAUGCUGUA
RNA transcript from Rhinichthys klamathensis goyatoka, 6379 nucleotides. It is a transcript of the gene named anaphase promoting complex subunit 1, with no coding region annotated. The record is from RefSeq and is a predicted model, not a curated record. NCBI's taxonomy places the organism in Eukaryota, Metazoa, Chordata, Actinopteri, Cypriniformes, Leuciscidae. The transcript is spliced from 49 exons.